CUGCGGGUGCUCAAUUUCGUCUGAAGGAGCAGACGGAGAACACAAAGGCAACUCUGAGCCAGCAUGAUUUAUCGCUGGCUUCGACCGAAUUAUGCUCGGCGCAUGUAAGCGAUGAGUACAACGGAAAUGAACGUUGAUGCCUGAAGCAUUUUCCUCCCCUUGCGCGGUUUUCUUUGAAGAAUGCAACGAGUAGAGGAAGAGUCCACCGAAGAUUCCUGCUCAAGCUCCUGGAAAUCCUCCUCAGUAGUCGUGGAGGAAUAUGGCACACCUACUGAGAAUUUCAUGCCCAUACUGGAAGUAUCUGAGAAGAUGAAUUCGAAAUUUUUCUCCGACAUGCCCCUUCCCUUGCGUAGGAUGCUCUGUGAAUAUGCGGAGUAGAGUUUCUCCCCAGGGGGUGAAACUCCACUCCCAUCUUGCAUACUCGACAGAUUUGUAUAUUCGAGUUGAUUAUCAGCUGAGAGUCCUCCAAAAGAACGUAAGCGCCAUCAUCACCAUUCAAGGGAGGACGUUCCUCGGCAGUUCAUUGAGGUUCACUCUUACUUAGGAAGUGAAACUGUUUCAGAGAAUGUAGAUUGCUGGAUAGUAUUACCGAGCGUGAUACUGGUACUGAUUGGUAUCGGCCAGGUGCUAUCAAAGAUCUAGGGAUCAUUUGGGAUACGACGCCCUCUUCUCUCCUGUAAUUUGAAGCCAUUCAUACUUCUACCCGAUGUUCGUAAUCAAAAUCGGUACUCUAGGGGCUCAAACAUUUUAAAACA
This is a non-coding RNA of Physcomitrium patens, 755 nucleotides long. The record is from RefSeq and is a predicted model, not a curated record. NCBI's taxonomy places the organism in Eukaryota, Viridiplantae, Streptophyta, Bryopsida, Funariales, Funariaceae.